CGGGACUGGCGGGGCUCGAACCCGCAGCUUCCGCCUUGACRGGCGGUGCUCUGACCAAUGA
Molecule: transfer RNA, 61 nt
Filed under: Streptocarpus hilsenbergii
Lineage: Eukaryota; Viridiplantae; Streptophyta; Magnoliopsida; Lamiales; Gesneriaceae
Description: partial tRNA-Asp
Source: RNAcentral